GACGUAGGGCGCGAGCGUUGUCCGGAUUUAUUGGGCGUAAAGAGCUCGUAGGCGGUUUGUCGCGUCGGGAGUGAAAACCUCGGGCUUAACUCGGGGCUUGCUUUCGAUACGGGCAGACUGGAGGUAUGCAGGGGAGAACGGAAUUCCUGGUGUAGCGGUGAAAUGCGCAGAUAUCAGGAGGAACACCGGUGGCGAAGGCGGUUCUCUGGGCAUGACCUGACGCUGAGGAGCGAAAGUGUGGGGAGCGAACAGG
Molecule: ribosomal RNA, 253 nt
Filed under: uncultured bacterium
Lineage: Bacteria
Description: partial 16S ribosomal RNA
Rfam family: Bacterial small subunit ribosomal RNA
Source: RNAcentral